UAUUAUUGAUAUUUUUAUAUGAAUAAGCUUAUUAUUAAUAAGCUUAUUUUUGUAAAAUUAUAAAAAUACUUUUACAAUAAUAUGUUUAUUCUUAUUAAAGUAUCUUGUUAGUGUUUUUCUAAUAUACAGUAAUAUAAUUUUAAAAUACAGUAAUAUAAUUUAUAUUUUUUAUUAUUUUUUUUAUUGCUUUUUUUUUAGUUACAUAGGUUGUUGUACGUAAAGCAGAACUGAUUUGAUAACUGUUAUUUUUAUUGACUGUUGACAAUUUCAAGAUGUUUUUUUUUUUUUUUUUGAUUAUAUAACAUUUUUGUUAUCUUUAGGCCAAUUUGCACAGACUACAGCUGUAUCUACCUCUUGUACUACACCUGUAUCUACCUCUUGUGCUACACCUGUAUCUACCUCUUGUGCUACACCUGGUAAGUUAAACAACUAUUAGUUUUUACUAUGCAAACUUUAUAAUAUGUUUAACUUUAGUUCCUUAGUCAUCUUUUGCAACUAGUAAUUUAAUAAAAUACUACAUUUAAUAUGUAUAUACAUUUCUUGUUAUUUGCUAUAUUGAUUUUUUGAUACAACUUUGUAAUUUUAGUAUCUACCUCUUGUGCUACACCUGGUAAGUUAAACAACUAUUAGUUUUUACUAUGCAAACUUUAUAAUAUGUUUAACUUUAGUUCCUUAGUCAUCUGCUGCAACUAGUAAUUUAAUAAACUAUUACAUUUAAUAUGUAUAUGCAUUUCUUGUUAUUUGCAAUAUUGAUUUUUUUUUUACAACUUUGUAAUUUUAUUUUAAAAUAGUUAGUAUAAUAAUUAAGUCAAGUUUUGUGGCUUGCAAAUAG
This is a non-coding RNA of Hydra vulgaris (swiftwater hydra), 832 nucleotides long. The record is from RefSeq and is a predicted model, not a curated record. Lineage: Eukaryota; Metazoa; Cnidaria; Hydrozoa; Anthoathecata; Hydridae.